This 373-nucleotide ribosomal RNA is filed under the name uncultured organism. RNAcentral's name for it is "partial 16S ribosomal RNA". It matches the Rfam family "Bacterial small subunit ribosomal RNA", at positions 527 to 896 of the family's 1533-position model. The record is from RNAcentral.
GUAGGUGGCAAGUGUUGUCCGGAAUUACUGGGCGUAAAGCGCGCGCAGGUGGUUCUUUAAGUCUGAUGUGAAAGCCCCCGGCUCAACCGGGGAGGGUCAUUGGAAACUGGGGAACUUGAGUGCAGGAGAGGAAAGUGGAAUUCCACGUGUAGCGGUGAAAUGCGUAGACAUGUGGAGGAACACCAGUGGCGAAGGCGACUUUCUGGCCUGUAACUGACACUGAGGCGCGAAAGCGUGGGGAGCAAACAGGGAUUAGAUACCCUGGUAGUCCACGCCGUAAACGAUGAGUGCUAAGUGUUGGGGGGGUUUCCCGCCCCUCAGUGCUGCAGCUAACGCAUUAAGCACUCCGCCUGGGGAUACGGUCGCAAGACUG